This is a long non-coding RNA of Phyllopteryx taeniolatus (common seadragon), 652 nucleotides long. RefSeq lists it as uncharacterized. The transcript is spliced from 3 exons. The record is from RefSeq and is a predicted model, not a curated record. Lineage: Eukaryota; Metazoa; Chordata; Actinopteri; Syngnathiformes; Syngnathidae.
GAUUGAAGAAGAGGAAGAAUAAGAAGGAGGCGGGGUGCAAGAGACAAUAAGAGAAGGCAAACAUAGCAGAAAAGAGAGAAGACAAAAUGAGGUGGGGGGGUAAAUCAACAAAAAAAAGCUUUCCUGCGACCGACAGGAAUGACGCCUUACAUCAUGCAAGGGAAUAAAGGAUGACGCACCGAGCCGAUCGCUUUGUUGGAAAGCUAUUGCGCAAAAUGCCGGCCCAUACAUAUGGCGAAAUGCUCUCGGCCGCUUGCCGCCUGAUCAUCUGCCGAUCAGGAUUUGAGUAAAUGGGAUCUGGAAUCGCAGUGAGUGAACUCCGUCUGGAUAGCCAGCCGAGCUUCAUCCCGAAAUUCCUCAGACAAAAACGAAGGUUAUGCAUCCAGCAGGCGUUCGACUCCUAUUCCAGUACACAAUGCAAACAAAAAAGGUUGUGCUUCAAGCAGCAGUACAGACUGGUUUCAAGGAGAAUGACAAUCACACAAGAUCCCAUUCACUGCCAUCGAAGAAUAAAAUCCAUGUUUGGAUAAAACUUUGCUAGAUUUUACGCACAAGGUAAUAAAAACAAGGCUUUACACGAUCAGGAUUUUUGGAGCCUAUCACCGUGUUUAAAAAACCAAUAACCGAUCACAAGAUGGAGGAAUGUGUCUAU